UGGCCUGUCAAAGUUGUCUCACUUGGGGCUAAAAUGACCAGCCCUUUUCAUCCCUGUCAAUCCACUGGAUAUUGUCAGCCCCAGGAAGUUGUGUGAUCUUGAGCGAGGUGGCUUUCUGAAGCUGUGGCCAUCCUCGGCAUUCCUUACAGGUGGGGCAAAAGUCCUUCCUUGAAGGGAGAUCUGGUAGUACCACAGCCUGCUUUAUGGGCAUAUGAUCUGUGCAGUGGCGCAGGGCCCCGUACUUAGAGGGGCCUAUGUUUGGUUCAGUGCUCUGCUGUUGCUGUCCUGAUAGUCUUAAUCAUUGAAAAAUGAGUCCCUCGUUUUCAUUUUGCACUGAGUCUUGUAAAUUAGGUAACGGGGCUGGGUGGCACUUCUGUAUGUCUCCCACAGUUCCUGUUCUGUGAGAUUCUGCGUAACCUGGUAGGGUGGCCUAGCUAUCAAAGAGGCACUUCCAGAGGGACACAGGGUUAGUGGGUACUACCCUACAGCUGCUCUGAUGCAGAGUAAAAGUCUUGAGAUCCUCUGAAAUAGAAUUAAACUUCCACACAAUUUAGCUAGUUAGGUCUAAGUAGGUGUAAUUAGAGGUUACUCAGUGAAAUUAGGUAACUGAGUCAAAAUAAAGUGUAAUGAAUUUUCUUUCUUCUUUUUUUGCAACUUUUUUGUGUGUAUUAUUACAGAAGUGAGUGUUGAGUAGACUCAGGGCUGAUUUGUUUGUAUUCCCCCUUUCUAUCUCCUUUUUCCCUUAAUUUCUUGGUAACAGAAGCAGAAAUAGAACAGAUUACUAGGACUGGAGGCUCUCCAACUUCAACCCUUUCUUUUAUAAGUGAAGAAAAUGAAGCCCUACAAUAAUAUUGCCCAAGGUCACACAGCUGCUCAGGGCCAAUACAUGAACUAGAAUUCAAUUUCUCUUUAUUUUAAAUGAGGAAGUUUUCCCACUAUGUUUAAGGUAUAAUUUCCUCACUAUGUGUAACACAUCACCAGUGAUUCUGACAUUAAUUUUCUGAUGGCAGGCAUUUCAGUCCAUGCUUAAUUUCUCAGUAGCUUGGAAAAUUUCUAACAAAUCGAGUCUAAAUUAAAAUCUGCAUACCAAAAGUGGGAUGGCGGAUUCAUGAGGUGACGUUCCAAGCUGCAAAUCCUGUCAUUUUCUCUAAGUUACAGUUGUCAGUUGCUGCACCUGGAAAGUUUCAUUCCAAAUGGUUACAGUGAAUUCACUUCAAGAUGCUACCUUUUCCUCUUUGUGGGAGCAGAGAGAUGUCAAAAUAGGAAGUCCAAUUAUAAUAGGGCCACGGAAUCAGCCUGAGGCUGUAUUUGCACAUCUGGCAACUUUGAAUAUAAUAUCCCCAAAGAUGAGAAGCUUCAUAAAAAUUUAGAGGGCAGAAACUGUGAUUUUGCCUUUAUAGACAAAACGCGUGGAUGGAAGGCUGAUGGUUUGAAACAAAGCCAACAUGCAAAACUAUGCCAAAUAUCAUUGCUGUUGGGGUUGCUUGGAAAAUGAAGUAUUUAGGCCAAUGAUUCUUUCCCGGAAGCUAAAAUAAAUCUAGAACAAUGGAAUACAAUCUUGGGUACAGGCCAGAAGUGGUCACAGGAUUUGAAGUAGCCAAUAAGAAAUUAAAAUAAAUUAUAUCUAGCAUUUCAAAUCUAGCAUUCAAAUCAGGUGAUGUUGGUAUACUGUUUUCCUGGUGUCUUAAACCUGUUUUACUUAAGCAUUUUGCCUUGAGUCCUUCCUCAGCUAUACAUUUUGCCUCCAUCAUCAAUUAGGGAAAACAGUAAAUUAAACUAACUUCUGCCUGUGAGUUGCAUUCUUGCAAAAUAAGAAAUAAUUACUUUGAUGAAGUAGAGUGGGCAUUCCUUGGUCACUUCACAUUUACCUUUCCACUCCUUUACUCUUCAGUAGCCAUAGUGAUAAAGAUUAAUUUAUUUAAAUUAUCUUUAUAGCAUUUUACAGCUUCCAGAGCAAUUACCCAUGCAUUAUCUUAUUUAACAAUCUUUUGAAGAUUGUUAUUGAAAUUGAAGAUAUUAUUACACCUGUACUAAAGAUGGGGAAACUGGGAUUUAGAGAGGUGAUAUAAAGUAUACUUCAUAUCACAUCUCUCCUGUCUAAGCCUUUCAACAGUUUUUCAUUGUUCUUAGAAUACGUUCAAACUCCUACCAGAGAUUAAAGUUCCUACAUGAUCUGACCCCGCACUUCCUCUCUUGUUCUAUCCCACUCCCUGCCUUUCAUCCUCUCCCUGCCUUGUUCACAGUGCUCCAGGACACUGUGUUGUCGUCCAUUUCCUCAAAAGCACCAAAUCUUUCAGAACUCAGUCUUAACACAUGCUAUUUCUCUACCUGGAGGAACACAUAAGGAGUGGACACAUAUGUAGGUUUAAACUUUGGGUAACCAUAUUAAAUGAAAGUGAAAAAGAAGCAGUGAAACAUUUGAACACUGUAUACUAACUCAAAUAUCUAAAAUACUUCAACAUGCAAUCAAUAUAAAAAUUAUUAUAUAGGAGCCGGCCCGGUGGCACAGCGGUUAGUUUUGCACAUUCUGCUUUGGCGGCCCGGGACUUGCCGGUUCGGAUCCCAGGUGCAGACAUGUCACUGCUUGGCACGCCAUGCUGUGGUAGGCAUCCCACAUAUAAAGUAGAGGAAGAUGGGCAUGGAUGUUAGCUCAGGGCCAGUCUUCCUCAGCAAAAAAGAGGGAGAUUGGCAGCAGUUAGCUCAGAGCUAAUCUUCCUCAACAAAUAAAAAUUAUUAUAUAGAUCUAUGUUCUUUUUUCAUACAAAGUAAUUGAAAUCUCAUGUGUAUUUUAUACUUACAGCCCAUGUCAGUUUGGACUACCCAAAUUUCAAGGGCUCAAAUAGGCAUAUGUGGGUAGUGGCUACCAUAUUGGACAGCACAGGUUAAAAAUAUUUAUUUGACUACAUUUAGAUUAGACUAAAUGUUUGGGUUUUUUCCUAGACACCAAUGCACAUGACUGAGCAGGAGGACCAGAGCAAAUAAAGGAGUUACAUUCUGUCUGCAUAUCUGAGUUACCAUGCGAGUUAGUGUUUCAACCCUUUCAACCUCCCCAUAUUUAUGUCUGGCACAAAGUAAGAACUCAAGGAGGGUGAACUAUCUUUAUGAUCAUUAUUAUUAAUAGCAGGGACAGAACAGAGCCCAGGGCUCCUGACUUCUAGCCAAAUGCCCUUUCCAGAAUCCCAGGGGGCCUCCCAUGUUAGCAAUACAUUUAUGCUACGAGUACAAUGUCAUGGGUAGCCGCCAGCAUUAUAAAAACUUGCACACUGGAUUCCUGGUGCUGUACGAUCUGAGAUGCUUCAAAUCACCUGCUUGCAGAACAAAGUAGUGAAAAACAAAACAAUUUCAUUUUGCCGGAUUGACCUUUAAAUCCUCGCAUGC
RNAcentral lists this long non-coding RNA (3378 nucleotides) under Equus asinus (donkey). RNAcentral describes it as "lncRNA (ENSEASG00005035525.1)". The record is from RNAcentral. Lineage: Eukaryota; Metazoa; Chordata; Mammalia; Perissodactyla; Equidae.